This 67-nucleotide transfer RNA is filed under the name Argonauta nodosus. RNAcentral's name for it is "tRNA-Trp". The record is from RNAcentral. Lineage: Eukaryota; Metazoa; Mollusca; Cephalopoda; Octopoda; Argonautidae.
AGAGUUUUAAGUUAAUUAAACUGUAAAUUUUCAAGAUUUAUAAUAAAUAGAUUUAUUUAAACUUUGU